CCUACGGGAGGCAGCAGUGGGGAAUAUUGCACAAUGGGGGCAACCCUGAUGCAGCGACGCCGCGUGAGUGAAGAAGUAAUUCGUUAUGUAAAGCUCUAUCAGCAGGGAAGAAAAUGACGGUACCUGAGUCAGAAGCCCCGGCUAACUACGUGCCAGCAGCCGCGGUAAUACGGAGGGGGCAAGCGUUAUCCGGAUUUACUGGGGGUAAAGGGAGCGUAGACGGCAGUGCAAGUCUGGAGUGAAAGGCGGGGGCUCAACCCCCGGAGUGCUCUGGAAACUGUACGGCUGGAGUGCAGGAGAGGUAAGUGGAAUUCCUAGUGUAGCGGUGAAUUGCGUAGAUAUUAGGAGGAACACCAGUGGCGAAGGCAGCUUACUGGACUGUAACUGACGCUGAUGCACGAAAGCGUGGGUAUCAAACAGGAUUAGAUACCCGGGUAGUC
RNAcentral lists this ribosomal RNA (440 nucleotides) under uncultured bacterium. Its description in RNAcentral is "partial 16S ribosomal RNA". It matches the Rfam family "Bacterial small subunit ribosomal RNA", at positions 338 to 795 of the family's 1533-position model. The record is from RNAcentral.